CCACAACACACGGGAGUCCGGUGAGCCGGGCUGAGAGGAAGCGAACCACGCUUCGACCGUCGAACCUGAUCUGGGUCAUGCCAGCGCAGGGAGGAGAAGAACAGAUGUC
Molecule: non-coding RNA, 109 nt
Filed under: Frigoribacterium sp. RIT-PI-h
Lineage: Bacteria; Bacillati; Actinomycetota; Actinomycetes; Micrococcales; Microbacteriaceae
Also listed under: 2 other names
Description: TPP riboswitch aptamer (THI element)
Rfam family: TPP riboswitch aptamer (THI element)
About the family: Vitamin B(1) in its active form thiamin pyrophosphate (TPP) is an essential coenzyme that is synthesised by coupling of pyrimidine and thiazole moieties in bacteria. The previously detected thiamin-regulatory element, thi box was extended, resulting in a new, highly conserved RNA secondary structure, the THI element, which is widely distributed in eubacteria and also occurs in some archaea.
Source: Rfam by way of RNAcentral